RNAcentral lists this ribosomal RNA (463 nucleotides) under uncultured bacterium. RNAcentral's name for it is "partial 16S ribosomal RNA". It matches the Rfam family "Bacterial small subunit ribosomal RNA", at positions 28 to 507 of the family's 1533-position model. The record is from RNAcentral.
GACGAACGCUGGCGGCGUGCUUAACACAUGCAAGUCGAACGGAAAGGCCUUUUCGGAGGUACUCGAGUGGCGAACGGGUGAGUAACACGUGGGUGAUCUGCCCUGCACUCUGGGAUAAGCCUGGGAAACUGGGUCUAAUACCGGAUAGGACCGCACUUUAGUGUGUGUGGUGGAAAGUUUUUUCGGUGUAGGAUGAGCCCGCGGCCUAUCGGCUUGUUGGUGGGGUAAUGGCCUACCAAGGCGGCGACGGGUAGCCGGACUGAGAGGUUGGUCGGCCACAUUGGGACUGAGAUAAGGCCGAGACGCCUACGGGAGGCAGCAGUGGGGAAGAUUGCACAAUGGGCGCAAGCCUGAUGCAGCGACGCCGCGUGGGGGAUGACGGCCUUCGGGUUGUAAACUCCUUUCGCCAGGGACGAAGCGUUUUGUGACGGUACCUGGAGAAGAAGCACCGGCUAACUACGUG